AAUUUUCAUUAAAUGGUACUUAAAAUAUUUUUCAUUACAAUUUUUUUUAUAAAUGGUAAUGAAAUUUUAAUGCUUAAUGAAAAAUUCCCAUGUAUGUUUUGUAGUGAUCGCAGAGCAAGUAACAUAGUGUGUGCCUAAAAAAAUAAAAUUUAAACUGAAAUGCGUGUUUUUUUUUAUAAAAUUAUUAAAAUUUGUAUUUAUUAUAAAAAAAAAUAAAAUUAAAUUGGAACUAUACGCACCGCGUUUGUACACCGGAAAACGUAGAAGGUUUUCCGGUGUACAUACUUGAUACAAAUAUUUGAAUUUACGAGAUCUGUUUCUGAAACAUGUUUCCUAUUUGAAAGAAUGUAUAAGUUAAGCAUUUUAUAUUUUGAGAUUUUUAUGUUUAAUAAUUCAUAAUUUUGUAUUAAAACAUGUCGUGCUGUUGGUGCGAUAUUGAUGUUGGAGGCAGAAAUGAAUUCGUAUGACUUAAAAUAGGCUCUUACAUACUUUAGUAAAAAAAUCAGAGGAUUAAGGUUCCGUAAUAUAGCGGUUUUUGGUCGAUAACGACCGUGAAUAUGCUAAAAGUGCAAAGCUGUUUGGAAGUGGGUGGAAUUCUCAUAUUUGCCGUGCUUAGUAUAAUUUAUCGAUUCCAUUCCAAUAGAGAACAUUUAAAAUUAUAUGGAGCAACAAUUAAAAGCAGAAAUCCCUAAUAUUUUUUGUCAAUUUAAGGCCUAAAAGCUAUAAUUUAUGUCAUGAAAUUUCUAGUGGGUUCUGGUGAAGAUCAUGUUCAGAAGAAGGAAUGAUAUUAUCAAAAUGCGCAAAUAUUCCAUAAAAUAUGAAUUUUAAAAUAUUUUUGGAGGUAAAUUUACUUUGGAAAGAAAAAAACCUAUAUGCAACAAACUAGCGGAACAACAUGUAAUGUCUCAUGAUCCUCGAAGGACAUGUGUUACAGAUAAAAAGAAUUUGUUAAAAAAAACUUUAAGUAAUAUAGGAAAUAUUUGAUGUUAGAGUUCAUAUAUACCAAAUAUGCUAACCUCAUGGCCAUCACUGAAUGAAUAUACAUAUAUACACACAUAUAUAUCUUUUAAUAUUUUCUUAUUUUUUGUUGUUUUAUU
Long non-coding RNA from Lucilia cuprina (Australian sheep blowfly), 1097 nucleotides. RefSeq lists it as uncharacterized. The transcript has 3 exons. The record is from RefSeq and is a predicted model, not a curated record. Lineage: Eukaryota; Metazoa; Arthropoda; Insecta; Diptera; Calliphoridae.